Molecule: ribosomal RNA, 253 nt
Filed under: uncultured bacterium
Lineage: Bacteria
Description: partial 16S ribosomal RNA
Rfam family: Bacterial small subunit ribosomal RNA
Source: RNAcentral
UACGUAGGGACCAAGCGUUGUUCGGAUUUACUGGGCGUAAAGGGCGCGUAGGCGGCGCGGUAAGUCACUUGUGAAAUCUCUGAGCUUAACUCAGAACGGCCAAGUGAUACUGCAGUGCUAGAGUGCAGAAAGGGCAAUCGGAAUUCUUGGUGUAGCGGUGAAAUGCGUAGAUAUCGGGAGGAACACCAGUGGCGAAGGCGGCGCUCUGGACCGAGACUGACGCUGAGGCGCGAAAGCGUGGGGAGCAAACAGG